This 223-nucleotide ribosomal RNA is filed under the name uncultured bacterium. Its description in RNAcentral is "partial 16S ribosomal RNA". It matches the Rfam family "Bacterial small subunit ribosomal RNA", at positions 524 to 745 of the family's 1533-position model. The record is from RNAcentral.
UACGUAGGGUGCAAGCGUUAAUCGGAAUUACUGGGCGUAAAGCGUGCGCAGGCGGUUAUACAAGACAGGCGUGAAAUCCCCGGGCUUAACCUGGGAAUGGCGUCUGUGACUGUAUGACUAGAGUGUGUCAGAGGGGGGUAGAAUUCCACGUGUAGCAGUGAAAUGCGUAGAUAUGUGGAGGAAUACCAAUGGCGAAGGCAGCCCCCUGGGAUAACACUGAACG